RNAcentral lists this transfer RNA (74 nucleotides) under Pterois miles (devil firefish). RNAcentral's name for it is "tRNA-Val". It matches the Rfam family "tRNA". Rfam says of the family: Transfer RNA (tRNA) molecules are approximately 80 nucleotides in length. Their secondary structure includes four short double-helical elements and three loops (D, anti-codon, and T loops). The record is from RNAcentral. Lineage: Eukaryota; Metazoa; Chordata; Actinopteri; Perciformes; Scorpaenidae.
CAGAGUGUAGUAUAAUACAGGAAAACGCUUCCCUUACACUGAAGAGAUGUUCGUGCAAACCGAAUCACCCUGAC